This 1040-nucleotide small RNA is filed under the name Pongo abelii (Sumatran orangutan). RNAcentral's name for it is "retained intron". Lineage: Eukaryota; Metazoa; Chordata; Mammalia; Primates; Hominidae. The record is from RNAcentral.
GUGGUUUGGUCCUCCCAGGGCGCCGUAGGCGGUGCAUCCCGUUCGCGCCUGGGGCUGUGGUCCUCCGGUGCCUGAGGCGGUGGCGGCAGGAGCUGAGGGGAGUUGUAGGGAGCUGAGGGGAGCUGCUGUGUCCCCCGCCUCCUCCUCCUCCCCAUUUCCGCGCUCCCGGGACCAUGUCCGCGCUGGCGGGUGAAGAUGUCUGGAGGUGUCCAGGUUGUGGGGACCACAUUGCUCCAAGCCAGAUAUGGUACAGGACUGUCAACGAAACCUGGCACGGCUCUUGCUUCCGGUGUUCGGAAUGCCAGGAUUCCCUCACCAACUGGUACUAUGAGAAGGAUGGGAAGCUCUACUGCCCCAAGGACUACUGGGGGAAGUUUGGAGAGUUCUGUCAUGGGUGCUCCCUGCUGAUGACAGGGCCUUUUAUGGUGAGUGAAUCCCUUCAUAUCUGCCCCUCUUGGUCUUCAGAGUCCAUUGACAGUGCUUCCAGUUCCCUGUUAAUCUUUUAGUCUUUCCAUCAGCCAGGGCAUCUCCCUUUAUUUAUUCAUUCAUUCAACUAGCAGGUAUCAAUUGAGCACCUACUAAGUGAAAGGUAAGAUCCUUCCCUCAAAGACUUAAUAGUUUAACAUUGGGAGUGGGAGGAGAGGCAGGCAGAGAGGAGACACAAUAUAGUUGGAUAAGGACCUCCAAGGAGAGUGUUACAGGCUGAGAGGAGGAUAUACCUAGGUUGUCUUCAGGGAAUCAGAAAAGGAGACUCUGGAAUAGGCUAGCAGAGAGAGGUGCUACCUCCUAUACCUGCUCUGGACAAAGGACUUUAAGCAUAGUGACAGACUUGCCAACCCUGUAUUGGAAGAACUGUGAUCUUUUUUAGUGGGGAUGAUUACUUCUGGGGACUUGUUCUCAUAACUGAGACCAAAACAGUUUUGUGCAGUCUCAGAAAUGACAGGAGGUACCAAUCUGACACUUCCUUUGGAAGCUCUAGGGCAGAGAGUGAAAGAGUGGAUUUUGACUGGGGCCUUAAUUGGAAGUCAUUCACCCACCCC